This 75-nucleotide transfer RNA is filed under the name Agathobacter rectalis. Its description in RNAcentral is "[Eubacterium] rectale tRNA-Lys". It matches the Rfam family "tRNA". Rfam says of the family: Transfer RNA (tRNA) molecules are approximately 80 nucleotides in length. Their secondary structure includes four short double-helical elements and three loops (D, anti-codon, and T loops). The record is from RNAcentral. Lineage: Bacteria; Bacillati; Bacillota; Clostridia; Lachnospirales; Lachnospiraceae. RNAcentral also lists the same sequence under 1 other name.
GAGUGUGUAGCUCAGUUUGGCAGAGCACUCGACUUUUAAUCGAGUUGUCGAUGGGUUCAAAUCCCUCCACACUCA